RNAcentral lists this ribosomal RNA (464 nucleotides) under Vreelandella stevensii. Its description in RNAcentral is "partial 16S ribosomal RNA". It matches the Rfam family "Bacterial small subunit ribosomal RNA", at positions 339 to 795 of the family's 1533-position model. Lineage: Bacteria; Pseudomonadati; Pseudomonadota; Gammaproteobacteria; Oceanospirillales; Halomonadaceae. The record is from RNAcentral.
CUACGGGAGGCUGCAGUGGGGAAUAUUGGACAAUGGGCGAAAGCCUGAUCCAGCCAUGCCGCGUGUGUGAAGAAGGCCUUCGGGUUGUAAAGCACUUUCAGUGGGGAAGAAAGCCUUGGGGCUAAUACCCUCGAGGAAGGACAUCACCCACAGAAGAAGCACCGGCUAACUCCGUGCCAGCAGCCGCGGUAAUACGGAGGGUGCGAGCGUUUAUCGGAAUUACUGGGCGUAAAGCGCGCGUAGGCGGUCUGAUAAGCCGGUUGUGAAAGCCCCGGGCUCAACCUGGGAACGGCAUCCGGAACUGUCAGGCUAGAGUGCAGGAGAGGAAGGUAGAAUUCCCGGUGUAGCGGUGAAAUGCGUAGAGAUCGGGAGGAAUACCAGUGGCGAAGGCGGCCUUCUGGACUGACACUGACGCUGAGGUGCGAAAGCGUGGGUAGCAAACAGGAUUAGAUACCCCAGUAGUC